Molecule: non-coding RNA, 367 nt
Organism: Jeotgalibaca dankookensis
Lineage: Bacteria; Bacillati; Bacillota; Bacilli; Lactobacillales; Carnobacteriaceae
Rfam family: transfer-messenger RNA
About the family: Bacterial tmRNA, also known as 10Sa RNA or SsrA, is named for its dual tRNA and mRNA-like properties. Its role is to liberate the mRNA from a stalled ribosome.
Source: Rfam
GGGGGUGUUACGGAUUCGACAGGCAUAGGUCGAGCUUUUGAUGCGCUCCGUAGGUUACGUCUACGUUAAAACGUUACAGUUAAAUAUAACUGACAAAACAAACAAUAAUACUUUAGCUUUCGCUGCUUAAUAACAGCUAGCUAAGAUCCUCUUGGCAUCGUCCAUGUGCUCAAGUAAGGGUCCCAUAAUCAGUGGACUACGCCGUGACUUUCCAUCUGGAGGAAUCGGAAGAGACUAAUCAGAUUAGCUUGUUGUGAUGCCGGUUAAAUGGCUAGCAUCUGGCGAAAACUAAAUAAUUUAACUAUGAGCGUAGAUUUGGAAGUGCCGAUAUGUUUGGACAGGGGUUCAACUCCCCUCACCUCCAUUA